UUGCAGUUAAAAAGCUCGUAGUUGGAUUUCUGCGGGGGCGGGGCGGCCGGUUGCUUAUAGCAACUCGAGCUAGCACUUCCCCUGCAUCCUGCCGCGAACCGUGCUACCAUUAGUUUGGUGGCGCUGGGGAUCGGCUCGUUUACUUUGAGAAAAAUAGAGUGUUCAAAGCAGGCCACACGCCUUGAAUAAGUUAGCAUGGAAUAAUGAUAAAGGACUUCGGUUCUAUUUUGUUGGUGUUCGGGACUGAAGUAAUGAUUGAUAGGGACAGUUGGGGCGGUCAGUAUUCCAAAGCGAGAGGUGAAAUUCUUAGACCUUCGGAAGACUAACAGCUGCGAAAGCGUUCCGCAAGGAUGUUCCCUUUGAUCAAGAACGAAAGUUGGGGGAUCGAAGACGAUCAGAUACCGUCGUAGUCUCAACUAUAAACUAUACCAGCUAGGGAUCGGCCGACGUUUACUUACAUCGACUCGGUCGGCACCUUAUGAGAAAUCAAAGCAUCUGGGUUCCGGGGGGAGUAUGGUCGCAAGGCUGAAACUUAAAGGAAUUGACGGAAGGGCACCACCAGCCGUGGAGCCUGCGGCUCAAUUUGACUCAACACGGGAAAACUUACCAUGUCCAGACAUAGUAAGGAUUGACAGAUUGAUAGCUCU
RNAcentral lists this ribosomal RNA (647 nucleotides) under uncultured marine eukaryote. RNAcentral's name for it is "bacterial SSU rRNA". It matches the Rfam family "Eukaryotic small subunit ribosomal RNA", at positions 613 to 1258 of the family's 1831-position model. The record is from RNAcentral.